This 66-nucleotide transfer RNA is filed under the name Trichophoromyia ininii. RNAcentral's name for it is "tRNA-Glu". Lineage: Eukaryota; Metazoa; Arthropoda; Insecta; Diptera; Psychodidae. The record is from RNAcentral.
AUUUAUAUAGUUUAAUACAAAACCUUAUAUUUUCAUUAUAAAAAUAAACUUUUUGUUUUAUAGAUU